This 994-nucleotide ribosomal RNA is filed under the name Leucobacter iarius. RNAcentral describes it as "bacterial SSU rRNA". It matches the Rfam family "Bacterial small subunit ribosomal RNA", at positions 55 to 1061 of the family's 1533-position model. The record is from RNAcentral. Lineage: Bacteria; Bacillati; Actinomycetota; Actinomycetes; Micrococcales; Microbacteriaceae.
AUGCAAGUCGAACGAUGAAGCCCAGCUUGCUGGGUGGAAGAGUGGCGAACGGCUGUGUAACACGUGAGUAACCUGCCCCGAACUCUGGGAUAAGCGCUGGAAACGGCGUCUAAUACUGGAUAUGUCCCAUCACCGCAUGGUGUGUGGGUGGAAAGAUUUAUCGGUUCGGGAUGGACUCGCGGCCUAUCAGCUUGUUGGUGAGGUAAUGGCUCACCAAGGCGACGACGGGUAGCCGGCCUGAGAGGGUGACCGGCCACACUGGGACUGAGACACGGCCCAGACUCCUACGGGAGGCAGCAGUGGGGAAUAUUGCACAAUGGGCGCAAGCCUGAUGCAGCAACGCCGCGUGAGGGAUGACGGCCUUCGGGUUGUAAACCUCUUUUAGUAGGGAAGAAGCGAAAGUGACGGUACCUGCAGAAAAAGCACCGGCUAACUACGUGCCAGCAGCCGCGGUAAUACGUAGGGUGCAAGCGUUGUCCGGAAUUAUUGGGCGUAAAGAGCUCGUAGGCGGCUUGUCGCGUCUGCUGUGAAAACCCGAGGCUCAACCUCGGGCCUGCAGUGGGUACGGGCAAGCUAGAGUGCGGUAGGGGAGAUUGGAAUUCCUGGUGUAGCGGUGGAAUGCGCAGAUAUCAGGAGGAACACCGAUGGCGAAGGCAGAUCUCUGGGCCGUAACUGACGCUGAGGAGCGAAAGCAUGGGGAGCGAACAGGAUUAGAUACCCUGGUAGUCCAUGCCGUAAACGUUGGGAACUAGAUGUAGGGACUGUUCCACGGUUUCUGUGUCGUAGCUAACGCAUUAAGUUCCCCGCCUGGGGAGUACGGCCGCAAGGCUAAAACUCAAAGGAAUUGACGGGGGCCCGCACAAGCGGCGGAGCAUGCGGAUUAAUUCGAUGCAACGCGAAGAACCUUACCAAGGCUUGACAUAUACGAGAACGGGCCAGAAAUGGUCAACUCUUUGGACACUCGUAUACAGGUGGUGCAUGGUGUCGUCAGCUC